This 419-nucleotide long non-coding RNA is filed under the name Gossypium raimondii (Peruvian cotton). Its description in RNAcentral is "long non-coding RNA (GRAI_LNC006546)". Lineage: Eukaryota; Viridiplantae; Streptophyta; Magnoliopsida; Malvales; Malvaceae. The record is from RNAcentral.
AUUGAUUCAUAUAGGAGGAAAAUGUUCUCUAUUGAUUCAAAUGUUGUACCUAUGGGAUAGGGAUAGAGAAAGAGGAAAAACCGAAGAUUUCACAUAGUGCUUUUGAUCGAAAAAUCAAUCUGAUUUAUUUCGUACCCCUCGCUCAAUGAGAAAAUGGGUCAGAUUCUAUAGGAUCAAACCUAUGGGACUUAGGGAAUGAUGGAAGGGAAUAAAAUAAAAUAAAAAAAGAAAUCAAAAAAAGAGGGGAAAAAUAAUCAAAAUAAUAAAUAAGUAAAUAAAAAUGAAGUAGAAGAACCCAGAUUCCAAAUGAACAAAUUCAAACUUGAAAAGGAUCUUUCUAAUUCUCGAAGAAUGAGGGGUAAAGGGAUUGAUCGAGAAAGAUCUCUUGUUCUUAUUAUAAGAUCGUGUGAUUGGAUCCG